UGGGGAAUCUUGCACAAUGGGCGAAAGCCUGAUGCAGCGACGCCGCGGGGGGGAUGAAGCAUCUCGGUGUGUAAACCCCUUUCGAUUCGGAAGAAUGCCCGCAAGGGAGUGACGGUACGGAUAGAAGAAGCCCCGGCUAACUACGUGCCAGCAGCCGCGGGAAGACGUAGGGGGCCAGCGUUGUUCGGAAUUACUGGGUGUAAAGGGUUCGUAGGCGGUGCGGCAAGUUGGGAGUGAAAUCUCUGGGCUUAACCCAGAGGCUGCUUCCAAAACUGCUGUGCUCAAGUGUGGGAGAGGCGCGUGGAAUUGCAGGUGUAGCGGUGAAAUGCGUAGAUAUCUGCAGGAACACCCGUGGCGAAAGCGGCGCGCUGGACCACUACUGACGCUGAGGAACGAAAGCUAGGGGAGCAAACAGG
Molecule: ribosomal RNA, 416 nt
Filed under: Bacillota bacterium
Lineage: Bacteria; Bacillati; Bacillota
Description: Firmicutes bacterium partial 16S ribosomal RNA
Rfam family: Bacterial small subunit ribosomal RNA
Source: RNAcentral